RNAcentral lists this ribosomal RNA (840 nucleotides) under Cytophagaceae bacterium 94-10PB. RNAcentral describes it as "bacterial SSU rRNA". It matches the Rfam family "Bacterial small subunit ribosomal RNA", at positions 57 to 908 of the family's 1533-position model. The record is from RNAcentral. Lineage: Bacteria; Pseudomonadati; Bacteroidota; Cytophagia; Cytophagales; Cytophagaceae.
GCAGUCGACGGUUUGUAGCAAUACAAAUAGUGGCGCACGGGUGCGUAACGCGUAACCAACCUGCCCUUGACUGGGGGAUAGCCCGCCGAAAGGCGGAUUAAUACCGCAUAAACCAACAGAGUGGCAUCACUUAAUUGGUAAAGAUUUAUUGGUCAAGGAUGGGGUUGCGUAGCAUUAGCUAGUUGGCGGGGUAACGGCCCACCAAGGCGACGAUGCUUAGGGGACCUGAGAGGGUGAUCCCCCACACUGGCACUGAGAUACGGGCCAGACUCCUACGGGAGGCAGCAGUAGGGAAUAUUGGGCAAUGGGCGAGAGCCUGACCCAGCCAUGCCGCGUGCAGGAUGAAGGCCUUCUGGGUUGUAAACUGCUUUUCUCAGGGAAGAAAAAGCCCAUGCGUGGGACACUGACGGUACCUGAGGAAUAAGCACCGGCUAACUCCGUGCCAGCAGCCGCGGUAAUACGGAGGGUGCAAGCGUUGUCCGGAUUUAUUGGGUUUAAAGGGUGCGUAGGCGGCCCGUUAAGUCCGGGGUGAAAGCCCACAGCUCAACUGUGGAACUGCCCUGGAUACUGGCGGGCUUGAGUCCAGACGAGGUUGGCGGAAUGGAAGGUGUAGCGGUGAAAUGCAUAGAUACCUUCCAGAACCCCGAUUGCGUAGGCAGCUGACUAGGCUGGUACUGACGCUGAGGCACGAAAGCGUGGGGAGCGAACAGGAUUAGAUACCCUGGUAGUCCACGCCGUAAACGAUGGAUACUCGCUGGUGGCGAUAGACAGUCACUGGCUUAGCGAAAGCGGUAAGUAUCCCACCUGGGGAGUACGCUCGCAAGAGUGAAACUCAAAGGA